GACAGAGGUCCCGAGCGUUAGGCGGAAUCACUGGGCUUAAAGCGUGUGUAGGCGGAUCGUUAAGUGCCUUGUGAAAUCCCGCGGCUUAACCGUGGAACUGCUUGGCAUACUGGCGGUCUUGAGCCACCUAGGGGCAACCGGAACAAAUGGUGGAGCGGUGAAAUGCGUAGAUAUCAUUUGGAACGCCAAUGGUGAAAACAGGUUGCUGGGGGUGUGCUGACGCUGAGACACGAAAGCCAGGGGAGCGAACAGG
Molecule: ribosomal RNA, 253 nt
Filed under: uncultured bacterium
Lineage: Bacteria
Description: partial 16S ribosomal RNA
Rfam family: Bacterial small subunit ribosomal RNA
Source: RNAcentral